GAUGAAGAACGUAGCGAAAUGCGAUAAGUAGUGUGAAUUGCAGAAUUCAGUGAAUCAUCGAAUCUUUGGACGCACAUUGCGCCCCUUGGUAUUCCAUGGGGCAUGCCUGUUCGAGCGUCAUUUGUACCUUCAAGCUCUGCUUGGUGUUGGGUGUUUGUCUCGCCUCUGCGUGUAGACUCGCCUCAAAACAAUUGGCAGCCGGCGUAUUGAUUUCGGAGCGCAGUACAUCUCGCGCUUUGCACUCAUAACGACGACGUCCAAAAGUACAUUUUUACACUCUUGACCUCGGAUCAGGUAGGGAUACCCGCUGAACUUAAGCAUAUCAAUAAGCGGAGGA
This 337-nucleotide unclassified non-coding RNA is filed under the name soil metagenome. Its description in RNAcentral is "partial contains 5.8S ribosomal RNA, internal transcribed spacer 2, and large subunit ribosomal RNA". The stretch from base 1 to 120 matches the Rfam family "5.8S ribosomal RNA", at positions 35 to 154 of the family's 154-position model. The record is from RNAcentral.